This is a long non-coding RNA of Passer domesticus (house sparrow), 1352 nucleotides long. RefSeq lists it as uncharacterized. The transcript has 3 exons. The record is from RefSeq and is a predicted model, not a curated record. Lineage: Eukaryota; Metazoa; Chordata; Aves; Passeriformes; Passeridae.
AAGAAAGAUUCCCCAGACCUUUGAACAACUUAGUAGGUAUCUGCUGGAUCUGCUUUAGAAGCUCCAUGUUUGUCUUGUACUGAGGAGCCCAGAACUGGACACUGCACUCCAGAUGUGGCCUCCCCAUGGCUGAGCAGAGGGGCAGCAUCACCUCCCUUGACCUUCUGGCAAUGCUCAUUCCCUUAGCAUUGCUCUCUUGAAAACAGGGAUAAAAUGCUGUCCUGAUCAUAAUUUUUUCUGGAAAGUUAGGUGAAACCACAUCAGUUUUCACCUAAAGUAAAUUGAUGAAAUCAUCACACAUUUUUACUUCUGAAGAAGACGUUACUAUAUUUGUGAAUUGGGUGGCUCAUUGCUAGUUCAUCAAAAUGUUGGAAGACAGGCAGAGGAAGUUGUCUUCUCACUGCCUUAGAGACAAUACUAAUGUUGAGUUGCAAUAACUGAAUUUUAUAACAAUAAAAAAACCAAGGAAAAUAAAAGAAUUAUAGCAAACCUUUUGCCACAAAGCUGGAAGAGACAAAUUAGGGUCUACUCUAUAAUACUUCAGGCCUUUACUAAAAAAACCCUAAAACAACAAAAGAUAGUAUCACCUGCCCAAAAGUCAAAAAUUCUUUCUAUUUUGCAUCCUUUGCCUUAUUUAAAAAAAUGGGAUGAAGAAUGAUCAUCUUAUACCUCUGCUAUCUCCAAGUUUUGUUGGAAAUAAGAGGCAAAUGGUGAGCAAAUCUCAGGAGGAUAUGUGCUGGCAGAUGGAAUAGUCUUAAGCAACCAUGUUUUCAACAGUGCCUCUAUGGGAAACCCCCUCAGUUUUGUCCUCGGAGAAGGAAAGAAGUCUGAUUCAGAAAUUGAAGUGUCAUGCACUGGAAGUUGUACAAAUAGGGGACAGAGAAGCAGUUUUCCUGUGAAAAGGGUAUGCAUUUUUUGUCAGGAAAUUCUUUUUGCUGUAGAACAUAGUACUUGUUGUUGAUUUCAAUGUGUACCUUCUCUUCCUGUUAGUAAUAUUUACAUUAAGCAGUUAUUUGUGCCUGACUUCUGCUUUCUGUUUCACUUCACCAUUCACCCGGGGAAAAAAAAAACCCAAAACACAAACGUAAAAAAUAAAAAAACUCCAAGCAAGUGGCUGUGUGACUGAAAAAAGAACAAAACUUGCAACUCUGCAUUUGCAGGUGUGAUUUGAUUUAAGACUAGUAAAAGCAAAUAUUUCCCCAUUGGCAAAGUUAUUUAAUUAUGUUUUCAUUUCUGUAAGCAGAAGAACAUAAAUUAAAUUAGCAUUUGAGUUUUGUAUUUCAAGUUGACCAGGUCUGUUACCACCAUUUAGUCCUCAGGAGUGAUGAAAUAAAAUUAGCACGGCAAAAUAU